This 495-nucleotide ribosomal RNA is filed under the name uncultured bacterium. RNAcentral's name for it is "partial 16S ribosomal RNA". It matches the Rfam family "Bacterial small subunit ribosomal RNA", at positions 28 to 507 of the family's 1533-position model. The record is from RNAcentral.
GACGAACGCUGGCGGCGUGCCUAAUACAUGCAAGUAGAGCGCUGAAGGAGGAGCUUGCUCUUCUGGAUGAGUUGCGAACGGGUGAGUAACGCGUAGGUAACCUGCCUGGUAGCGGGGGAUAACUAUUGGAAACGAUAGCUAAUACCGCAUAAGAGUAGAUGUUGCAUGACAUUUGCUUAAAAGGUGCAAUUGCAUCACUACCAGAUGGACCUGCGUUGUAUUAGCUAGUUGGUGGGGUAACGGCUCACCAAGGCGACGAUACAUAGCCGACCUGAGAGGGGGAUCGGCCACACUGGGACUGAGACACGGCCCAGACUCCUACGGGAGGCAGCAGUAGGGAAUCUUCGGCAAUGGACGGAAGUCUGACCGAGCAACGCCGCGUGAGUGAAGAAGGUUUUCGGAUCGUAAAGCUCUGUUGUAAGAGAAGAACGAGUGUGAGAGUGGAAAGUUCACACUGUGACGGUAUCUUACCAGAAAGGGACGGCUAACUACGUG